GAUAAACGCUGGCGGCGUGCAUGAGACAUGCAAGUCGAACGGACGAUCAGGGCUUGCUCUGAUCGUUAGUGGCGGACGGCUGAGUAACGCGUAGGUGACCUGCCCCGAAGUGGGAUAACUGCCCGAAAGGGUGGCUAAUACCGCAUGUGGUGGUGCCUUCAUAGGCACCAGUAAAGCCGCAAGGCGCUUCGGGAGGGGCCUGCGUCCGAUUAGCUCGUUGGUGGGGAACGGCUCACCAAGGCGACGAUCGGUAGGUGGUCUGAGAGGACGAUCACCAGACUGGGACUGAGACACGGCCCAGACUCCUACGGGAGGCAGCAGUCGGGAAUUUUGCGCAAUGGACGAAAGUCUGACGCAGCAACGCCGCGUGAGGGAUGACGGCCU
RNAcentral lists this ribosomal RNA (384 nucleotides) under uncultured bacterium. RNAcentral describes it as "bacterial SSU rRNA". It matches the Rfam family "Bacterial small subunit ribosomal RNA", at positions 28 to 417 of the family's 1533-position model. The record is from RNAcentral.